AAAUCUUAAAAAAUUUAAACUGCAAAUUUAAUAAAGAAUAAAAUUCUAAGAUUUU
RNAcentral lists this transfer RNA (55 nucleotides) under Haemaphysalis concinna. Its description in RNAcentral is "tRNA-Cys". The record is from RNAcentral. Lineage: Eukaryota; Metazoa; Arthropoda; Arachnida; Ixodida; Ixodidae.